UACGGAGGAUGCAAGCGUUGUCCGGAAUUAUUGGGCGUAAAGGGCUCGUAGGCGGUCUGUCGCGUCGGGAGUGAAAACUCAGGGCUUAACCCUGAGCCUGCUUCCGAUACGGGCAGACUAGAGGUAUGCAGGGGAGAAUGGAAUUCCUGGUGUAGCGGUGAAAUGCGCAGAUAUCAGGAGGAACACCAGUGGCGAAGGCGGUUCUCUGGGCAUUACCUGACGCUGAGGAGCGAAAGUGUGGGGAGCGAACAGG
Molecule: ribosomal RNA, 253 nt
Filed under: uncultured bacterium
Lineage: Bacteria
Description: partial 16S ribosomal RNA
Rfam family: Bacterial small subunit ribosomal RNA
Source: RNAcentral